Molecule: ribosomal RNA, 471 nt
Filed under: uncultured Alphaproteobacteria bacterium
Lineage: Bacteria; Pseudomonadati; Pseudomonadota; Alphaproteobacteria
Description: bacterial SSU rRNA
Rfam family: Bacterial small subunit ribosomal RNA
Source: RNAcentral
GAGUUUGAUCAUGGCUCAGAACGAACGCUGGCGGCAGGCUUAACACAUGCAAGUCGAACGCUCGUAGCAAUACGGGAGUGGCAGACGGGUGAGUAACGCGUGGGAACAUGCCCUUUGGUUCGGAACAACUCCGGGAAACUGGAGCUAAAACCGGAUAAGCCCCUCGGGGGAAAGAUUUAUCGCCGAAGGAUUGGCCCGCGUCUGAUUAGCUAGUUGGUAGGGUAAUGGCCUACCAAGGCGACGAUCAGUAGCUGGUCUGAGAGGAUGAUCAGCCACACUGGGACUGAGACACGGCCCAGACUCCUACGGGAGGCAGCAGUGGGGAAUAUUGGACAAUGGGCGCAAGCCUGAUCCAGCCAUGCCGCGUGAGUGAUGAAGGCCUUAGGGUUGUAAAGCUCUUUCGCGCGCGACGAUAAUGACGGUAGCGCGAGAAGAAGCCCCGGCUAACUUCGUGCCAGCCGCCGCCGUAAC